CCUACGGGUGGCAGCAGUGGGGAAUAUUGGGCAAUGGGCGCAAGCCUGACCCAGCAACGCCGCGUGAAGGAAGAAGGCUUUCGGGUUGUAAACUUCUUUUAAGAGGGAAGAGCAGAAGACGGUACCUCUUGAAUAAGCCACGGCUAACUACGUGCCAGCAGCCGCGGUAAUACGUAGGUGGCAAGCGUUGUCCGGAUUUACUGGGUGUAAAGGGCGUGCAGCCGGGAAGACAAGUCAGAUGUGAAAUCCCGCGGCUCAACCGCGGAACUGCAUUUGAAACGGUUUUUCUUGAGUACCGGAGAGGUCAUCGGAAUUCCUUGUGUAGCGGUGAAAUGCGUAGAUAUAAGGAAGAACACCGAUUGCGAAGGCAGCUUACCAAGCUACUUCUGACGUUGAGGCACGAAAGCGUGGGGAGCAAACAGGAUUAGAUACCCUUGUAGUC
RNAcentral lists this ribosomal RNA (442 nucleotides) under uncultured bacterium. RNAcentral describes it as "partial 16S ribosomal RNA". It matches the Rfam family "Bacterial small subunit ribosomal RNA", at positions 338 to 795 of the family's 1533-position model. The record is from RNAcentral.